CUUGGGGAAAUUCCCCGGACGUAAGGGCAGAGAGUGCCAAAUCGGAAACGAUUUACCGGCGCGGCGCCGCUUUUAUUUUGGCGAAGAUGGUCUUUUUUCCUCUUCAGGGAAAGAGGCAAGAGUCACAUACCACGUAUGAUGAAAGUCGGCUUGCCGUGAAACAGCCGCCGUCUUAGCAAAGUUAUGUUGUCGAAUAGAACUCAACGGGGAUUACA
RNAcentral lists this RNase MRP RNA (215 nucleotides) under Stephanopyxis turris. RNAcentral describes it as "partial RNase MRP". It matches the Rfam family "RNase MRP", at positions 64 to 254 of the family's 266-position model. From Rfam's summary of the family: RNase MRP is an enzymatically active ribonucleoprotein with two distinct roles in eukaryotes. In mitochondria it plays a direct role in the initiation of mitochondrial DNA replication. In the nucleus it is involved in precursor rRNA processing, where it cleaves the internal transcribed spacer 1 between 18S and 5.8S rRNAs. The record is from RNAcentral. Lineage: Eukaryota; Bacillariophyta; Melosirophyceae; Stephanopyxales; Stephanopyxidaceae.